RNAcentral lists this ribosomal RNA (408 nucleotides) under Neriene sp. 6 LT-2015. Its description in RNAcentral is "partial 16S ribosomal RNA". It matches the Rfam family "Bacterial large subunit ribosomal RNA", at positions 1843 to 2580 of the family's 2925-position model. The record is from RNAcentral. Lineage: Eukaryota; Metazoa; Arthropoda; Arachnida; Araneae; Linyphiidae.
UUUCUUUAAGUAAAAUCUGCUCCAUGUAAAUAAAUAGCCGCAGUAACUUCACUGUGCUAAGGUAGCAUAAUCAUUAGCCUUUUAAUUAAGGGCUAGAAUGAACGAUUUAACAAUUUAAUUUCUUUUUUUUCAAAAAUAGUUUAAAUUAAAUUAAGGAUAAAAAUGUCCUUAUAUAUCAAAAAGACGAUAAGACCCUAUUGAACUUUACUUAAGUUUAGCUGGGGAAGCUAAUUAAAAACAAUUUUAAUUUUCAUCUUCUAAGUAAUAUCCAUUACCAUUGAUUUGAAUAAGUUACCAUAGGGAUAACAGCGUAAUAUUUUUUUAAAGCUCUUAUUAAAAAAAAAGUUUGCGACCUCGAUGUUGAAUUAAUUUAACUUUAAAACGCAAUUGUAUUAACAGUAGGUCUGU